Molecule: non-coding RNA, 93 nt
Organism: Glossina pallidipes
Lineage: Eukaryota; Metazoa; Arthropoda; Insecta; Diptera; Glossinidae
Source: Rfam
GGGGGUAGUUUUUAGUACGUAUGCGCCAGGGAUGGCGGAUCGUGCAUGCUGCUACUAAGAAUCAGCAGUAUCUUUUGAAGAUUUUCUACCUCC